This is an RNA transcript of Aethalodelphis obliquidens (Pacific white-sided dolphin), 4302 nucleotides long. It is a transcript of the gene named dual specificity protein phosphatase 22 pseudogene, with no coding region annotated. Lineage: Eukaryota; Metazoa; Chordata; Mammalia; Artiodactyla; Delphinidae. The transcript has 2 exons. The record is from RefSeq and is a predicted model, not a curated record.
AAGUGGCCUGUGGGCAGCGCCCAUACAGAUUAUGGAUGUGGUAGGAGGCCUGAGCCUGGACACCUGCAUCACUUCUUUGGUUGCCAGCUCUACCCUUCUUGGUCCUCCCAGGCCCUGAGCACGCACUCUGGCUUCAGACAAAAGUCAGGAGAUGCUUUUCCCUCCUCACCCUGUAGGCCCUGCUUCAGCCUCCUCCGAGUACAUGCAGUUUGGGUUAAUGAACCUGCCGGUCUUGAAAGGGUAAUGCUCCUCAUGUGUGUGAGGGUUGGGCUUUCUGUGGGUGGGAGAUAGGAUGGGUGUGGAGGCCAGUACCUGGAGCAUAGGAGAUUGAAUGAGUGUGAAUGGAUGUGUGGGGGAGGAUCAGUGAAACACAAGCGGAUGUGUCAGUUCAAGGGAGGCUGAGCUCAGUGGGUGGAUCUGAGCUUGGGGAGCUGCUGAGGCUGUGGGUCCAACUCUGUUGUGGAGAGUGCUGGGUUGGGCUGGUCCCUGCUGAGCAGUGGGAGGACAGCUUGCAGCACAGGCUCCUCUGCUUGACUGUCCUGGGCUGAGCUGGGCCUGUUUGUGUGCAUGUGCAUGUCAAGAUCUCUGCAAGGUAGUGGCAGGACCUAGGUCAGUCUGGCUCUCCAUUGAUCCUUUGCACAUCUGGUUCUGUGAGGCAGAUACGUGCAACAAACAUCCUAAAAAUGUGUAUUGUAGCAGUACAAAAAUUGUAACAAUUUUGAUUCAAUUUCAGACUUGAAAAGUUGCAAGAAUAUAUAGCACAAAGAACUUUAAAAUACUUACCCGACCUCAGCUCACAUUUUGCCGCAAUUGCUUUAAUUGUCUCUAUACACACUUUUUUUCUGAUCCAUUAGGAUCAAGUUAGAGAUGGGCCCUUUUGUUCCAAAUAUUUUAUUGUCAGUUUGCUAAGAACAAGCAUAACUGCAGAUCAAUGAUGAUAAUCGGGAAGUCUAACAUUGAUAUCAUACUGUUACCUAAUCCAUAGUCCACUGUAAAAUCUUGCCAAUUUUCCCAAUAAUAUUUUCCAUAGUUUUCUUUCCUGGUUCAGAAUCCAACCCAGAAUUACUACAUCUAGUUCUCAUGUCCUUCAGCCUUCUUUCCAUGUCUGUCUUGGAAAAGUAUUGGCUGAUUUUGUAGAAUGUCCUUCAAUUUGGGUUUGAUGUCGGCUCACAAUUAGAUUUAAUUGAGCUUUUUUGUGUAGGAAUACAGAUGGUCCCUGACUUAAAAUGGUUCGAUUUAAGAUUUUUUGACUUUAGGAUGGUGUGAAAGUGAUAUUAUUCAGUAGAAACUACUUCAAAUACGGAAUUUUGAUCUUUUCCCAGGCUAGUGAUACGUGGUAGAGCUCAUGAUUCUGGGCGGUGGCAGUGAGCCACAGACCCUAGUCAGCUAUGUGAUCUCAAAGGUAAACCCAACAAUACACAACUCUUUUUUUGUACCCAUAAAAACAUUGUUUCACUUUCAGUACAGCAUUCAAUACGUGAGAUACCCAAUACUUUAUUAUAAAAUGGGCUUUGUGUUAGAUGAUUUUGCCUAACUGUAGGCUAAUGUGUUAGGACAUUAGAAGUAGCCUCAGCUAAGCUAUGAUGAUCAGUAGGUUGUGUAUUAAAUGUAUUUGUGACUUAGGGUAUUUUCAAUCUACGAUGGGUUUAUUGCAACAUAACCCCAUCAUAAGUCAAGGAAGAUGUGUACCACAGAAGAGAGAUUGUGUACUUGAUGCAUCAUAUUGGGAGGCACAGAAUACUUGGUGAGUUUUAGUGAUGUUUACUUUGAGCACUUGGAUUAAGGGGCAUCUGUCAAGUUUCUCCACUGUAAGUUAUAAGGAGGUAUUUCGAGGCUAAAUAUCCUGUUCUUCAACUUUUCACUCACUAGUUAAUAGCAUCUAUUAAUAUUUUAACUCCAUUAUUACCUUUAUAUUUAUUAGUAUUGUACAGUAAGGAAGAGCUUUCUCUUAAAACUUUUUCUUUCCAUUUUUUGAUGUGGAGUCGGGCAUUCUCAGCAAAUACUCUUGCCUUCUAAAUACAGCUCCGUAUAAAGAAGCCUUUCCUCUUGGUUUUUGGUGUCAAUGAUGAGGAAAGGGGUGGGCUUUCUGUAUGGGGGGAGAAAUUAGAGCUGGGUUAAAAUUACCAAUGGGUAAGAAAAUUAACAAAAUGCCAAACCAGCAACAAGGCCGUUUGCUGUGAUGUUUGCCACACUCGCCUACUAGGAGGCAGUGUCAUUGCUAUUCCACAUCUGCCUGGCUCCUCUACCUCUAGGCUCUGUGCUCUAGAUAACUUAAGAUGAGGGAUGGGAAGGGUUGGGGGAGGAGGAGGGAGCCGACUUGGGCUGCACGAAGAAGCUGUUUAUCUUCCAUCAGUGUUGAGGAGCUUCUCUAGGCCUUAGUUCUUUCAUCUGUAAAAUAAGACCUGUGCUCAUUAGAACUUCCUGUGGAGCUUGUUAAAAGCAGGUGGCCAGGCCCUGCCCCUGAUUUGGGCUGUGAUUUGUGUGUUCAGGAGGUGGGUGGGGCCUGCGUGGGUGUUUCCACAGGUACUUGCUGGCAGUUCCAAUCCCAGUUGGGUUUGGAAACUGCCAGCCUAGCAACUAGCACUGGCUGGCCCACGGUGCAGUCUCCCAUGUUUGGGGUCAGAUAAUGCUCUUCGCAUAAAAUAGACAAGAGAGUCUUCUGCCUUCUGUGUCACAGAUUCUGCUUCUUCAAGAUUUGAAAGGCCCCAGGAAAGUUUUGGAGAUACUGGAAAAAAACAUGGAUUCAAUUGUGAGGAAUGUGAGGAAAGCUCAUUUUCUUUUUCAACUGCAGGGGUCAGCAAACUAUGCGCAGCUGCCUGUUUAUGGGUAAGCCAUGAACUAAGAAUGGUUUUUCACAUUUCUAAAUGCUUUAAAACAAUAGCAACAACAAGAGGAGAAUACUGUGGCCUGUGGAAACUAUACGAAAUUCAAAUCAGUGUCUACAUACAGAGUUUCAUUGGGGUGCAGCCACAUUCAUUUGUUUACAAAUUGUAGAUGGCUGUUUUCCUGAUGCACUGGCUGAAUUAAAUAGUUGCCACAGAGACAGUACGCAGCAGUGUUAUCACUUUGCAGUACAGACUGCAGUUAUACAUUUAUAACUCAGUAGUGUUAUGAGGGCCAUACCUAUCACCAUAUCGUGACAUUUAAUUUUUUAAAAAUUAUUAGUGCAUACUUAACGUUAAAGAAAAAAGAGCCCCCCCCCCCGCCCCGUCUAAGAACGUGCAGGGCGACGGCGGCCGGGGUGGGGGUGCGCAUGUGCCCUGGGCCCGGGCCCCCCGGGAGCCAUAAUCCUGGAGGGACCCGCUCCCAGGAGUCAUGUCCCUGCGCCCCGGCCCCCGGGAGACAUAAUCCAUGCUCCCCGGCCGGGCCCCUAGGAACCGUGUCUACAAGUCCCGGGGGCCAGCGUGGCAGGGGCCGGGCUCACUCCGGGAGGCGGCAGGCGCUGUGAGCCCCUUCCCGCAGGGGCGCCUGUGCCGCGGACCGGCGGCUGGGGAUCGCGGGGAUCGCGGGGGACAGGAGCGCAGCGGACAGAGAGGCCUGGGCGCCGCCGGUUCAUGUUGCUGUUUACGCUGCGGGCGCGCAGUGCCCCCUGCCCGCCCGCCAGCCCGCUGCUCCCCCGCCCGCUCCAACAUGCCCUCAGUGCGCCUGCCGCUGCGCCCCUAGGCGCUAGACCGCGCGGCCGCCAUGGGGAAUGGGAUGAACAAGAUCCUGUCUGGCCUGUAUAUCGGCAACUUCAAAGAUGCCAGAGAAGAACAAGAUGACACACAUUCUGUCUCUGCACUACAGCGCCAGGCCAACAUUGGAGGGGGUUAAAUACCUGUGCAUACCAGCAGCGGAUUCACCAUCUCAAAACCUGACAAGACAUUUCGAAGAAAGUAUUAAAUUCAUCCACUAGUGCCGCCUGCGAGGUGAGGGCUGCCUUGUUCACUGCCUGGCCGGCGUCUCCAGGAGUGUGAGUCUGGUGGUUGCAUACAUCAUGACGGUCACCGACUUCGGCUGGGAAGAUGCCCUGUGCACUGUGCAUGCAGGGAGGUCCUGUGCAAACCCCAACCUGGGCUUCCAGAGGCAGCUCCAGGAGUUUGAGGAGCACCAGGUCCAUCACUUCCGCCAGUGGCUGAAGGAGGAGUACGGAGAGAGCCCUUUGCGGGAUGCGGAAGAAACCAGAGGCAUUCUGGCCACCCCAGGAAUUCUGAAGUACUGGGCCUCUCUCAGAAGACUGUAAUGUACCUGAAAUAUUGCAAAGCCAGAGUUUAGGUGCUGCCCAGAAGAAAAGCAGACAGAGUUUAGGUGCUGCCCAGAAGA